UACGUAGGUGGCAAGCGUUAUCCGGAUUUAUUGGGUGUAAAGGGCGUGUAGGCGGGAGCGCAAGUCAGAUGUGAAAACUCAGGGCUCAACCCUGAGCCUGCAUUUGAAACUGUGUUUCUUGAGUGCUGGAGAAGCAAUCGGAAUUCCGUGUGUAGCGGUGAAAUGCGUAGAUAUACGGAGGAACACCAGUGGCGAAGGCGGAUUGCUGGACAGUAACUGACGCUGAGGCGCGAAAGCGUGGGGAGCAAACAGG
This 253-nucleotide ribosomal RNA is filed under the name uncultured bacterium. Its description in RNAcentral is "partial 16S ribosomal RNA". It matches the Rfam family "Bacterial small subunit ribosomal RNA", at positions 524 to 776 of the family's 1533-position model. The record is from RNAcentral.